GGCGUGCCUUUUGCAUAAUGAACCUACGAGUUACUUUUUCCGGCAAGGUUAAGCAUCUUGAGAUGUGGAUCCGAAGCGAAAGCGAGUCUGAACAGGGCGGAUAGUCGGAAGGAGUAGACGCGAAACCAAGUGAUCUACCCUUGGGCAGGUUGAAGGUUAGGUAACACUAACUGGAGGACCGAACCGAUAAGCGUUGAAAAGCUUCCGGAUGACCUGAGGGUGGGGGUGAAAGGCUAAUCAAACUUGGAGAUAGCUCGUACUCCCCGAAAUGCAUUUAGGUGCAGCCUUGAGAGUUACUAAUGUGAGGUAGAGCGACUGAUAAGAUGCGAGGGCUUCACCGCCUAUCAAGUCUUGAUAAACUCCGAAUGCGCAUUAGUUCUAUCUCAGGAGUGAGGGCAUGGGUGCUAAGGUCCAUGUCCUAAAGGAGAAGAAUCCAGACCAUCAGCUAAGGUCCCCAAAUAAACACUAAGUUGAACUAACGAAGUCAGAUUGCUAAGACAGCUAGGAUGUUGGCUUGGAAGCAGCCAU
This 528-nucleotide ribosomal RNA is filed under the name Bacteroides fragilis. RNAcentral's name for it is "partial 23S ribosomal RNA". It matches the Rfam family "Bacterial large subunit ribosomal RNA", at positions 598 to 1119 of the family's 2925-position model. Lineage: Bacteria; Pseudomonadati; Bacteroidota; Bacteroidia; Bacteroidales; Bacteroidaceae. The record is from RNAcentral.